GUACCUCGCUGUAGGACACUUUGGGAAUAUGCUCAGCCGUGUUCACUCAUUCAUAGAACUGGAAGUGCAACACAGAGUUAACUUCCUUGGGUUAACUCUUGUCUAAUGAGAGACAGAAGCUGGUAGACAAAUAUUUCUUUCUUCACUGUCUUGCCCUGACAGCCCUGAAGGGCACUCUACAUGGUUUUUUAGAGGACUCCAGUAGGACCCAGCCACAAUGGCCUAUGCUAUUGUUCUGGAAAGCACUCCCUAAUAGACAACCUGCAUGCAAGUAUCUGCCUCAGAGUUCAUUUUCUACACAAUUGGGCCUAAGGUCACACACGUUGUUCUGAAGAUGCUUUAAUGUUCUCCACGUGUAGUUGAUGGACGACUGAAGAUUAUCCUUGGAAUCGAGCAUCUCUUCCUAGGGAUCUGGAAAUCAUAUCCUGCUUUCCCACAGUUUUGGACCAGCAAGUCAUAACUUUUUGUGAGGAGGAGAUGCUUUUCAUUUCCAUGAAGGCUUGGGGUCACUCCUGUUGCUGCUGCAGCUACUCCUGUGGGUUUUAGGAUAGCUGACCUGACUUUGACGUGGCCAUCUCCAAAGCAUUUUUCUGACUGAGAGCCACAGGCCCUCAACAUCAACGUAAUUUGGAUACACUCAAGAAUCCACAGGCUUCACUCUGGAGAUGAAGGGACUUAAACCACAUAUGG
Molecule: long non-coding RNA, 690 nt
Filed under: Equus asinus (donkey)
Lineage: Eukaryota; Metazoa; Chordata; Mammalia; Perissodactyla; Equidae
Description: lncRNA (ENSEASG00005035035.1)
Source: RNAcentral